This 253-nucleotide ribosomal RNA is filed under the name uncultured bacterium. RNAcentral describes it as "partial 16S ribosomal RNA". It matches the Rfam family "Bacterial small subunit ribosomal RNA", at positions 524 to 776 of the family's 1533-position model. The record is from RNAcentral.
GACAGAGGAUGCAAGCGUUAUCCGGAAUUAUUGGGCGUAAAGCGUCUGUAGGUGGCUUUUUAAGUUCGCCGUCAAAUCCCAGGGCUCAACCCUGGACAGGUGGUGGAAACUACCAAGCUAGAGUACGGUAGGGGCAGAGGGAAUUUCCGGUGGAGCGAUGAAAUGCGCAGAUAUCAGGAGGAACACCGGUGGCGAAGGCGGGUCUCUGGGCCGUAACUGACGCUGAGGAGCGAAAGCGUGGGGAGCGAACAGG